This 20485-nucleotide long non-coding RNA is filed under the name Nicotiana benthamiana. RNAcentral's name for it is "long non-coding RNA (NBEN_LNC031885)". The record is from RNAcentral. Lineage: Eukaryota; Viridiplantae; Streptophyta; Magnoliopsida; Solanales; Solanaceae.
AAUAAUAAUAAUACAAUACAUGUAUAUAUAUAGGCAGCCACUCAGGCUGGCCACAAUUGGGCCAGACCUGAGUGGCCCAACCGAUUUCCUCCUCUAAAUCCAUACACAACCCAAGCCCAAAUGACCAACUUGAUCCAGGUCCACAUCCACUAAACUAAACGACACCGUUUAGGACCCCUCCCAUCACAACCGUUGAUCUCCACAUCAUCCAACGGCCACAAAAGCCUAUUUCAUAUUGUAUACAUAUGUCCAGACACCUUUACAUACACGACCAAAUUUUACCUUCCUCGUACCCUUCAUCGUCGACCUAACAACACCCAUUGACCACCUUGUCACCGCCUUUGACCACCGGCCUACCACACUACUGCCGCCGCCGGAAAUCGCCUCACGGCACCGACCGGCAACCAAACUACCCCAAAUUAACACCACUUAACUAGCGUGACCUCCUCUACCCCGUCCCAUGACCAGUUUCCCUCGAAUACAACCCCUCCAUCUCGAAUAUCCCCUUAAAAGUGGACGGAAACCCUAUCUCUGACGACCUCAUUCCAAAGCUGUCCAAAACUACACCACUAAGGCACCUCUUCCUCCCCGUUCCAACCAUGUAUAUUACCCCUCUCAAAUCAGUCUGAAACCCCUAGAAUACUAAUCCAAAGGCCAACCCUAAAUUCCAAAACACGCCAGAAAAACCUCAAAGCCUCCUAGACAAUCCCUGAUCCCCCUUGACAUCAUUCAUACAACCAUUGACCCCCAAACACCCUCAACCACUAAGCAAAUUCAAAUCUGAGACCUAUUUGAGGUCUCAGAAUCUUGGAAACUCCCCUGAGUUCUCAAAACUGAUGGUACACCACCUUAGAGGGUUCAGAACCCCUGUGGGAGAAUCAAGGUCCAGCUGGGAUGGUUUAAAUGAGAACAAAAAUGAAAGCUAAGUUUUUAUUGCCUAUUUUCCAUUUCUUUAGCUUUGAAGGCUUGAUUUCUAUUAAUGACGGAUUAGGUUCAGUAAUUACAUGUUUAAAAGUUCGGAUUUCUUUCAUUUUUUAAUUUUGGUUGUUUGUGAUUAUUUUCAGUAAUUACAUGUUUAAAAGUUUGGAUUUCUUUCAUUUUUUUAUUUUGGUUGUUUGUCUGUUUAUCCACAAGUUCAUUUAAGAUUAGGAUUCAAUGUUCAUAUGUUUGUUUGUUUGUCACUAGCCUGGAAAUCUCCUCGUCUCUGAAAUAGUUCAAACAUCCUGUUAAAAAUAGCUUUUGAGUAGUAUGAUCCUCAUAAUUUGAUGAAUUUUAUUGUUUCGCUGAUUGUUCUGAUUAGUUUGAUUAUUUGAUUGUGCUACUGAAUGCCUGAGAUUUAUUUCAUGCUAGUUUUGGUCCUCAGUGCUGAUAAAUGUAUUCACUUUUCUGGUCUUUUGUGUGUUAAUCCUAUAUAAUGCUUGAAGAAGUCUGUUAAUUUUGGCUAAGGGAACUUUCAAGAGCUUAUUAGUGACCCAAGCCGAUUGACCAAGGUCUGAAGAAUUCGGUUAAUUUUGGCUAAGGGAACUUUGAGGAGCUUAUUAGUGACCCAAGCUGAUUAACCAAGGUCAAUUGUGACUGAAUUAGGAUCAAAGAACUAACCAAGGUCAAAUUCAGGGGUAGGUAAUUAGGAAAGCUAGUGAGGGUAUAAGAGGGAUUUGAAUUUGAAAAAAUCUGAUAAGAACCUUUUGGAACUUUCUAGCAGGGACUAAUACAUAAUUCCAGCUUUAUACUUGAGGCACAAGUUAGAAAUUGAAGGACUACUUAGGAAAAAAUACAAUUUGAGUUGAGGACUAAAAAGAAAACAAAGUAAAAUCCGAUGCCUUAACAAUUUUACUAUAAAAUGAACCAUUUGGGGCAUCGGAUUGGGAUCCGGAGCUUUUAUCUUCAAUACUAGAGCUAAAAUACUCAUUUUAUAUCUGAAAAUACUAUCAGUGCUGAAUUUGAUCACUUUGAGUCUAUUUUUCUCACAAUUCUGUUGAAGUUCUAGGUACACUGUGCAAUUGGUUGUUUAUUUGUCUAGCUGUUCUCUUAUAUUACUCAUAGGCUUGUUUUUUCUUAAAGCAUUACAGGUAUAUUCGAAGCUCAUAUAUGAUUUGUUAAGCUGGUCUCUUCUUAUUACUCAUAGGCUUGCUUUCUCUCGCUACAUUACAUGUAUAUUCAAAGCUCAUAUAUAUACGAAGUUCAAGUGUGAAAUAUAUUCUCAAGUAUGAAGACCCUCACAUGUUAUUUGUUUUUUGUGUCAUACCCCCAUUUUCCCCUUUACUUAGUCUGAACAUAGGAGUAUUAGUAAGUUGAUCCUGAUGUUAUAGUUAAUAUUAGAUUGAUACGUUUGUAAUAAUUUGGACAUUUGGGACUAUUUUAUGUGUAAUAAUUGGACAUUCAGCUCAAAUAUUUGAAUAAGUAAUAAUCAAUUCCAAUUCUUGCCUAGUGGGUUCAAGUGCUGAUCCUGUGCACUUAGAGCUAUUGGAUUCAGGAGGCAGCAGUCCUGAUAAUCAUGUAAAACAAAUCAAAAAUAUUGUGAAACGUUUUAGUUCAUUUGAGUCUCAGCAUGUUAAAUAAUAAGUUAUUUUCAGAUUUGUCCCUGUAGUAUAACUUGAAUCACAACUGAAUUUUUGAAAUUAGACUUACAUACUGUGACUGAUGAGUAUGUGAAUCAUCUGAUUCAAAUCUAUUGUUAGAAAUUGAUACAAAAAUGGUUGUUAAUAUUUCCUUCAUGAAUGAGGAGCGAUUCGAUUUUAGGUACAUAAUUUCAGACCAAAUUAUUGUUAGCAAUGGGACUCUUUCGUUCCGAUCAGUGAUGGAUUCAUUAGCGAGGCCCAGUAAUGCACCAGAAUUUUCUAGUCCAAUAUGUUUUUUUGGGCUGAGUGUUUUAAAAUCCAAAACAGCCACAAUACUUAUUAAUCAAUACUGCAUGAAAAAUGUGUGCUCCUGGGAUGGCCCAACAUCAAUUUAUUACGUGGUAAUUGGCCAUGAACGAGGCUAAGGCCAUGUAGUGUUUCCUGAGUACACAAGUUUAUAAAUAAAACAGUUAGUGUAUUUAAGCACCCGUAAGCGUAGAAAAUUUAGUAUGGAUUAGGAUGUCCUCAUAAAAAUAAAGUGGGCUGCGUUAAUUCAAACAAAUAUUAUACGGUGGCUCCUUAAUUCAUUAAUACACAUAGAAAAUAGGAAGUGCCGUUUAGCAAAUUUUACGGCCUUUCCCAUAAAUAUCAACGACGUGGUUGCUAUAGGCGCGCAUGCUUAAUAAAAACACCUUCCUAAAUUCGGGUGCGCAUUUAUGUGACCCAAAUCCUAUUCCCAAUGAAAUUGAAAUAUGUGUAAAAUCGCGGGUGCAUUUAUGUGAUGCGAUUCGCGACGUGUUUUAAUAACAUUUCAAAUUUUCCUAAAAGAUGUUAAAAGCGGUUAAUAAUUUAAAAUUACGAGUUAACAGGUGUAGUAAAUAAUAUUUAGCCACUUAUAAUGAGUUUAGGUGAUCGUGCUAGAACCACGGGAUCCGAGGGUGCCUAACACCUUCCCUCGGGUCAAUAGAAUUCCUUNNNNNNNNNNNNNNNNNNNNNNNNNNNNNNNNNNNNNNNNNNNNNNNNNGUGCCUAACACCUUCCCUCGGGUUAAUAGAAUUCCUUACUCAUGAAUUUCUGGUUCGCAAACUCCAAUUGGGCAGUCGAAAUUUCGUCGAUUUGGGAUUUUAAACAAACCGGUGACAUGGGACACCAAAAUCCAAGCCUAUCCCAAGUGGCGGCUCUUGAAGUAAACAAUUAAUCACAUUUCGAAUAAUGUCACUUUAAUUGAAAAAACUCCUAUACACGUGUCGCCUUUCGGGGCAACCACGUGUAAGGGGUAAAAAGGAGGUGUGAAAGCUUUGGCGACUCUGCUGGGGAACGAACCUAGAAUCUUCGAUUCAGGGUUCAAGAAUUCGAGCUUUCAAUAACUGCUAUAUUUGGCUUCUUUUGAUUUGCUUACCUGUUCUAUGCUAAAUGCCGCAUGCUUUACCUCUUUGAUAUUACUGAACUGUAUAUAUAAACUGUACGAAACCCUUCACUUCUCACCUCCGGGGAUGUGCUUACUGGUUGAGACUCCCUAUUCUGUUAGUGUCUUACCCUGAAUUAAAAAGAGGCCAGACAAGUUACAAAGCCGGAUGAUCUCACGGGUCUCCGGUAUGGAUCCCCCUCCUCGACUCGAGCUGUCCACUCAGGUGCACAGCCUAGACCCUAUACCGAGGUUCUCAACUUAGUAUAACAAAACUUCAUGCCGGAUCCCUAGUAGGAACGUUUAUUUGCAUCAUGCAUUUUGACUUAGGGGACUCAACACAGGGGUUUGGUUCAUCUCGGACAGGUGCCCUGAAAUAAAAGUCCAUCCUGAUGCAUUUUUACGUGCUACUUGCACAUUUACUUGCCCUGGAUUCGCAUGUUGACCGGCCUGUAAACGAAUAAAAAGAUUGAGAGAAAAUAAGAAGUGCUAGGGUAGUUGCUUUUAUAAACCAAUGCUCAAAUAGCGCCGAAACGUUGCAGGAUUUUUCAAAAAAAAGAGAAAAAAAACAAAAAGGAAAACAAAGCACAAAAGGCAAAAAAUACAAAAAAAGAGGCAUCAAGCUUUUGAAGUUUUUCAAUAAUGUCUGCGGGUUUGAUACAUUGCUUUGGCUGGGUCCAACCCCGUUUUUCAAAAAAUGUCAAGAAAUGUUCAAGUUUAUUUUCCUACUUCGAAAUGAGUCCGAUGGUGCCACUAUUGCGAUAAUAGCUGAACGACGCUACAGGGACACCAGAAGGCUGAUCUUACGCAAAUGGCUGCCGUCGAAUUUUAUUCGUGUCAGUAAGAAAUCAUAGCCUAAAAACCUUCUAGCCGAAGUGUUGAAAGGCCGUAUUCGCAAAGCCGGUCCCUGUUAUAAAAUUCAGUUUUAUGUUUUGAGAAUACUAAUUCACCCUAAUAAAUGUGCAGAAUGAGCCCGAUAAUCAACAAAAUUCCUUUGGAGCUGUGGCUAUGCCAUUUUAAAAUAAAUUUCGUAAAUGCCAAUUUUUAUUUUGUGAGAAUACUAAACAGCCCUAAUAAAUGUGCAGAAUGAGCACAAUAAUGAACAAAAUUUCUUUGGAGCUGCGGCUAUGGUGGGAUGACCUCGGAGAAGCCGGACAGAAAAAGGUCAACGCGCAUCCGGGGGGCCUCACUAGUUUGCUAAUAAUCAACCCUAGGGGGGACAUCAUAAAAGCCUAAUCACCUUCUAAGACCCUGCCUACAACGUCUUCCACUUCUCAGAUUUUUAGCUGACCCAGACUUUGGAAGAAAAAUGACCGGAUACAUCUGGACCCACACAAUCCCGCUAAGACAUCAAUACUUGAUAGCACCCAAGGCCCUUGCUGUGCACAAAUUUCUGGAUGUUUUGAAAAUCAUCAGAAAAAUUCAUAACCCUCACCUGUCGGCUAGAUUUUGCACCCCUCAGUUUAUACACCAAAUAUACAGCCACAUCGGAGGGUUCAACAACCCUGAAAUCCUCAUCUGUAGCAAGGGCAAUCAGAUAAAAUGGGAGGAGCACCGAUGCUUUGCGUUAUGGUAUCCUUUUUGGGUCUUUUAGUAUUCCCCCGAAAGGACCGAAACAUCAACAUACGAAUUGCGAGGGUUAUUAGUACAUUGAUGACUCAGGCAAAGAGCACUCUUGCUCCGAUGAUCUUGUCUGAUAUCUUCCGAGCCUUUACCAUUUGCAAAGCAGAAGGGAUUUCUUUGAAGGCUGUAACUUGCUAUUACAAAUCUGGAUGAUUGGCAAUCUAUGUCCCAGGCCUUGAUUCAUGAAUGUGGGUUGCCAACAGAAGGUUUCAUAGAAGAAGUGGAACAAAGGGUAAAUGGUUUUAAAUUACUGGAGGGUGUCGUAGAGUGGGUAUCACAUCUCCGGUCUAUUUCAGCAAGCCAAAUACAAUGGACGUUCAGUUGGCUCUCCGUGGAUGAAGUUGUACAUAUGCCCGCAAUAGAACCACACUUUCUCUUGAUGGGCCUAAGAAGCGUCCAACCUUACGCCCCGCAUCGGGUCUUGAUGCAACUCGGAAGAUGCCAAAUAGUGCAAAAAGAAGAAGAUCUUAGCAUCCGGGUAGUCGAAAUUGGGACAAGUAGUCAGUUCCCCGAAGCAAUGGUUCACAAAAUCUGGAAUGAAUGCCAAUACCUAACCGCUGACACUUGUGUACAAGAUCCUGCCAGAGGUGAAGUAUCCCCGGGGUACCUUGCUUGGUAUAAGAGGAAAUUAAGCACGAAAGACCAUCCAAAAGGCCUCACCUUCGAGAGUUCGCCGGUACAUCACAAGAACAGUGGGAUUGGUUAGCAAAAGAACAUGAAUAUCGUGCUACCAUUGGAAGGCUAGAAAAGAAACUUCAGGAAUUACAAUUCGAAAACAGCCUGCAAACUGCUGCUAGCGAAGGAGAAAAGAAGGUAUUGGUUACAGAAAACGAAGCCCUGCGAGCUGAGAUUCAGAAGAUGAAAACAGCCGCAGAAAACCCCCCAAGAAGUAUAAAGGAUGAAAAUCUCAUAGAGAACCUGCGACGAAAGGUAACCGAUACAGUUUUGACCUAAUUAAGGUAGAAGGUGAAUUGUCUAGAGCCCGGAGACAAUUAGCUAAAGUGCUGAAGAAAGGGCCCGCAUAUUGGAACAGUUAAAAUAAGGGAGCGGCAAUGAAAAUGUUGGUCUAAAACAGAGGGUUAUAAUAGCUGAAAACACAAUAGCCAAGCAGGAUAAGGAUUUCAAAGCUGAGAGAGAGCACUACUAUGCGGUAAUAGCAGGGUUGGAAAGAGAUUUGAAGCAAUUUCAAAACCUAAAUCAGGCAGCUGAGCGGACUUUAGAAGCACUGGCAGAACAAAUAGGGUGCCUGCUACAAGAGAAAGGGAUAAUCAGGGAGAAGGUUCGGGCAAUUGCAGACUAUAUUACCACUGAAUGCAGUCACUGCGAAGACAUGAUAAAAUGCAAUUUUUCUCUACUGCUAUGACUUUCAUCCGGCAAGUAAUGGAAGAUCUUCACUAUCUUCAAGAAAGUCUAGCACGGAAACCCGCAAUAAGGCCGAAUGAUGCCCCGCAAGCUCCAAAGGCAUUUGAAGCAUUGAUGUACUCAUAGACUUGUGUUUUCUAAAAAAAAAAGUCUGAUUGUUGUCUUUUUCGAGUCUGUAAGGGUAUUAAGUCCAUGUAUGGUAGUUGCUUUUAACCAAUGUAAUCAAGUUUGUAUCUUUAUCAAAUUGGAAAUCCCAAAAAUAUUUGUGUUUCGUUCCUAACCUUUUAUUUCCAUGAACUACGCUCGGUCUGAUUCAUGCAAAGUCAUGAUACGUAGGCAAUCUCUAUAGGAUUCGACCGUAUUCUUUAAAACAGGAAUAAUAAAAACAAAAAAGGGGGAGGAAAGAGAGGAAAAUAAAAUGGAGGAAACAAAAGGAAAUUGAAAUAAAAGCCGGGAUGACACAUGCAACUGGGGCAAGCAUAUAGAAAUCCCAUUAUCUACAUAGGUGCAUCAUGAUGAAUGUGUGAUUUCCUGUUUAUCAUCUAUCCUGAAACUAACUUCGUUUUCUAGCAUUACAGUUCAGGUGUUUAGAACAGUGGUCGGUUUUGCGGUAUACUGGCGUCACGCGGAUACUUCACUUGUUCAAAAGGAAAUACAGAAAUGUCAACUGAGAUGACUGAAUUCACCCUCCCUAUUCCAAAAGACAGUCCAAUCACGGGAGUACCGGCUUCUGAAUCUGUAGCGGCCGAAGAAAAUAGGAUCUUGCGGCUCCGGGUCAUGGAAAUGUGGGACGCAUGGACCAAUGGAAAGGAACCUCCCAUCGCCAUCCCUGGAUUUCCCGAGCUAUUUCCACGGUCGGGGGGCACCUCUGCUAUUCCUAUUAGUCACCCGAGCAUUCUCUUGGUGCAGCCCACUAUUUCUACCAAUUUUGUUGGGGCACCCUCUGACUCCCACCCUCCAAUGUUUGCAUCUGGGCCAGUUCCCAAUAUCUUUACAACCCCUCCGUGCGCAACUACAACACAACCCGCAGUGCCAAGGCCUGUGUUUGAUCCCGCAGCCUUUACUUCCAAACUCCAAAUUACCAGAAUGAUCCUCCCCCGUACCCUACAUAUAGCUACCCUCAGCCAACAUAUGAACUUACCCCUUUGCCGGACAAAACUUCCAAAGCACCCGAGCAGGAUGAGAUCACAAGGAGAAUGAGGAGUCUUGAGCAAAGCCUGAAGAAUAUGCAAGGACUGAGCGGACAGAAAAGUGUAGCCUACUUAGACUUGUGCAUGUUUCCCCAUAUCCAUCUUCCUUUGGGGUUUAAAGUGCCAAAAUUUGAGAAAUACGAUGGCCAUGGAAACCGUAUCGCCCAUCUAAAAAAAAUAUUGUAAUCAAUUAUGUGGAGCAUGCGGAAAGGGAUAGCUCCUGAUGACAUAAUUUGGGGAAAGCUUAGUAGGGAUUGCUUCCGAAUGGUAUAUAGACCAAGACAUCACGCGGUGGCACAUAUGGGAUGACCUUGCCCGAGACUUUGUGAAACAAUUCCAGUAAAAUGUUGACAUCGCCCCGGAUAGGAAUUCCCUAGCCAACCUGAAGAAGAAACCCACGGAAAGCUUCAAGGAAUAAGCUAUCAAAUGGCGAGAGCAAGCAUCAAGGGUGAAACCUCAUAUGGAUGAAACGGAAAUAGUCACCGUCUUUUUGCAAGCACAGGAGGCAGACUAUUUUCAGAACAUGAUGUCCGCAAUGGGCAAACCAUUCGCUGAAGCAAUAAAGAUUGGAGAAAUGGUGGAAACUAGCCUCAAAACAGGGAGGAUUCUAAGCCAAUAUGCCAUUAGAGCCACCUCCCAAUCCAUAAAAGGAGGGGUGGGAGGAAUUCCCACGAUGGAAAAUGGACACAAAACAGGGAGGAUUCUAAGCCAAUCUGCCAUCACAGCCACCUCCCAAGCCAUACAAGGAGGGGCGGGAGGGAUUCCUAGGAACAAGAAAAGAUAGGAGGCAUCCAUGGUAGCUUCCGGGGUAAGCAAACAACAUACCCACAGACAUGCAUUAUAUGAUAGAGCUCCUCAACAUUACUAUCCUCACAGAAACAUGCAUUAUGCCCCUCCACCCUACGCAGUUGUGAAUGCUCAGCCUUUUCCCCUCCCUCAACAGCAGAAUAACAGAAAUCAAGCUCCGAGGAAUCAACUCCCGCCUAAUCAGUACAAUCCCCGCCAUAAGAAAAACAACUAUCGUCCCCGGGAGCCACCCCGGAGAAAAAACUUCACCUCAAUCGAAGAAUCUUACGCUAACCUGUUUCCAAAGCUAGUCCAUCUGGGCCUCCUCCAGCCUGUACCCCCAAAUAGACAGAAUCCUGAAUCCCCAUCUUACCAAAGAGGUGUACGAUGUGCCUACCACUCAGGGGCAGAGGGCCACGAUACUGAAAAUUGUUGGACCUUAAAGUGAGCGGUGGAAGACUUGAUUGAUCAAAAGAAAAUAGUUCUCAGAGAUGACGAAGUCCCGAAUGUAACUGACAACCCGUUACUAGCUUGCAACAACGGGCCGGUCAUCAGGAUGAUCUGCGAGGACAAAGAGUUUGAUGACUUGAUUGAUCAAAAGAAAAUAGUUCUCGAAGAUGACGAAGUCCCAAAUGUAACAGACAACCCUAUACCGGGUCACAACAACGGGCCGGUCAUCGGGAUGAUCUGCAAGGACAAAGAGUUUGAUCCCACUCUCAAAGCAAUCAUAGCCAUCGCCGAGGCCGAUAGGAAGCCAAAGGUCAGCCUAAUGAAGGUGGAUGAAAAGAAAAAAAAAUGAAUCCAAAAGCCCUGAAGUAGAGAAGAAGGCUGAGGUCAAAGCUGAGACAACCCCCGCCAAAGAAACAAUACUCUAUAUUCCCCGGGGAAGCAAAGAAAAGCGGCUGCUGAGGUCAAAGCUGAAACCACUCCCGCCAAAGGAACAAUACUCUAUAUUCUCCGGGGAAGCAAAGAAAAGCGGCCCACUUUAAGCCCUCCCAAAAGAUUUGAGCUGAAUAGAGCCCUGAGCAUACCAAAGAAGGCCUAUGUGGUACGAGGAUCAAUUAAGCCACUGGUGCUGAAUGAGCCCGUGGUUAUUUGUCGCAUGCCACAAAAGCCCAUGACCAAUCCUUCAGUUGUUCCCUGAAAUUAUCAGGAAACCAUUGUUACACACAAGGGAAAAGAAGUCCUUGGAGAAACCCCAAAGGGAUGUCCCACGAAGAAAUACUUAAAUGUGGAAGAGGUAAAUGCCGCUACCAAACGUUUAUUCCCGCCAAAGAAGCUAGUGAAUGCUGAGGAAGCAGAAGCCUUUUUCCAGAAAAUGAUGAUGCCAGAGUAUGAAGUGGUACACCAACUCCUGAAAUCCCCAGAAUAGAUUUCUCUAUUGUCACUCUUAAUGAAAUCCCACGAGCAUCAAAAAGUGUUAGCCAAAAUAUAAAACGAAGCUUAUGUGCCAGCUGAGACCUCGGUAGAACAGUUAGAGAAGAUGGCGGAGAGAUUCUUUGCUAUCUAUCAAAUUUCGUUCAGUAAGAAUGACCUACCCUCAUAGGGAGUUGGUCAUAAUAAGGCUUUGCAUCUCACUGUAAAAUGUGAGGGAUAUUAUGUUAAGAGAGUGAUGAUUGAUGGGGCUUCCGGGGUAGACAUAUGUCCUCUAUCCACCUUGCAGAGAAUGGAGAUCGGGACAGGGAGGAUCCAUCCCAACAACGUCUGUGUCCGGGCUUUCGAUGGAAUAAAAAGGGACACCAUUGGUGAAAUCAAUCUGGUGCUCUUCAUUGGUCCAGUAGACUUCGAAGUAACCUUCCAGGUGUUGGACAUGGACACUUCCUACAAGUACCUCCUGGGACGACCGUGGAUUCAUGCAGCAGGGGCAAUGCCUUCAACCUUGCACCAAAUGCUAAAAUAUGAGUAUGAAAAUCAGGAGAUUGUAGUUGAUAGAGAGGACGAGCAAUCAAUUUACCGGGACCCCUCUGUCCCUUGUCUAGAAGCCAAGGAAGGCAGUGAACACAUAGUCUAUCAAGCUUUUGAGGUCGUAGUAACUGACCAGCAUGAAGAGGGCAAGCCGCUUCCUCAGCCUUUUUUGUCAAAUGCUUCAAUUAUGGUAGCAAAGGAAUUGAAGCACCGAGGCUUCAAGCCAGGCAAGGGACUCGGAAGCUCUCUACAAGGCAUAACCGAGCAAGUCGCCUUGCCUGCUACAGAAAAGUUCUUUGGACUGGGAUUUCAUCGAACCUCAGAAGAUAUCACCUGGGUAAUUGCAGAAAGCGCCAAGGAUGGACCUUACCACGACCCCUGCCUCACUUGUACAAAACCUUUAUAAAACCAAAGUAUAGCGAAGAGGAGGAAGAAGAAACUUUCACGCAAGAAGAAAUUGAUGAAAUCUGCGGGGCUAUGAGAGAGUUGCUCUAUGAUGUAAACAUGGUCCAACCAGGGGACGGGUCAAGCGCCACUGAAGUACUGUAUAUGGGGCCAGAUGCCAAACUUCAAAAUUGGAAGGCCACACCCUUUCCGGUCAGGAGGGAGACCCGGUAGUCGCGCCUUGAUACCUCUUCCCACAUCACGAGCUAUUUCAGGGUGUAGCUCGUUGUUUGUUUUCCUAUUAAACAUUUUAAAUCUCAAAAUGUAAACCAUGUUUAUCUCUCAAGUUCAAGGAAAUAAAAUCAAUAUGUUUCAUUUCUCUGCUUUUCUCUGAUUUUUGUCUUUCUUUAUUUUUCAUCUUUUCUUUCAGUCCCAAUAAUGCGGCCUUAAAUAAAACGACAUGCUCGCUGACUUCCUGCCCGACCCAAAUCUGCUGCCUGUCUGUGAAUUAAUGAACCAGGAACCGGAAUACAAUAAAGAAGAGGCUUUUAGGGAAAUCACUCGAGAAUUGGAACAAAUUGAGAACAAACCUAAGUCUAACUUAAAUGAUACUGAAUCGGUUAACCUGGGCGAUCUUGAUGAAAUCAAAGAAACUAAAAUAAGCAUCCACGUAAAUAAAGAGAUACGAGAUUCAUUGGUUCAACUCCUGUUGGAAUUCAAAGAGUAUUUGCGUGGUCCUAUGAUGAUAUGCCCAGCCUGAGUAUGGAUUUGGUGGUUCAUAAGUUGCCUACAUACCCUGAAUGCCCUCCGGUACAAUAAAAGCAAAGAAAAUUCAAGCCUGAUGUUAGUGAUAAAAUCAAAGAGUAGAUUAUAAAACAGCUUGAAGUAGGGGUAAUCCGGGUAGUGCGAUACGCCACAUGGCUGGCUAAUGUGGUCCCAGUGCCGAACAAGGACGGGAAAACCCGGGUGUGUUUGGAUUAUAGAGAUUUGAAUAAGGCGAGUACCAAGUAUAAUUUCCCUCUGCCCAAUAUCCACAUCCUUGUCGAUAAUUGUGCCAAGCAUGAGAUUCAAUCCUUUUUAGACUGCUACGCAGGAUAUCACCAAGUUCUGAUGGAUGAGGAAGAUGCUGAGAAAACCGCCUUCACCACACCUUGGGGAACCUUUUGUUAUAGAGUUAUGCCUUUUGGAAUGAAAAAUGCUGGGGCAACCUACAUGAGGGCUAUGACCACCAUCUUCCACGACAUGAUGCAUACAGAAAUAGAGGUGUACGUGGAUGACGUGAUUAUCAAAUAUAAAACUUAGGGCGAGCAUGUAAAGGAUUUGAGGAAGUUCUUCGAAAGGCUCCGCAAAUAUAAUUUGAAAUUAAAUCCAGCAAAGUGCGCAUUUGGAGUUCCUCCGGGCAAACUUUUGGGGUUCAUCGUCAGUCGGAGAGGCAUUUAAUUGGAUCUAACCAAGAUCAAAUCCAUUCGGGAGCUGCCCCCGUCAAGGACCAAAAAGGAUGUGAUGAGUCUAUUGAGGAGAUUAAAUUACAUCAGCCGGUUCAUUGCUCAAUUGACCUCAACAUGUGAGCCUAUAUUCAAGCUGCAGAAGAAGGAUGCGGAAAUUAAAUGGACGGUCGAGUGUCAGGAAGCUUUUGACAAAAUCAAACAAUACUUGUCCAAUCCACCAGUGUUAGUUCCGCCAGAACCAGGAAGGCCAUUUUUUCUCUACCUGACGGUCUUGGAAGGCUCUUUCGGUUGUAUUCUCUGGCAGCAUGACACCACGGGAAAUAAAGAGCAGGCCAUCUAUUAUCUAAAACCAGGAAAGCCAUUGUUUCUCUACCUGACAGUCUUGGAAGGCUCUUUCGGUUGUAUUCUCGGGAAGCAUGAUGCCACUGGAAAGAGAGAGCAUGCCAUCUAUUAUCUGAGAAAAAAGUUUACUGGCCACGAGGCCAAGUACACAUUGUUAGAGAGAACAUGUUGCGCCUUGACCUGGGUUGCUCAAAAGCUAAGGCAUUAUUUGCAAGCUCAUACCACGUACCUCGUAACCAGGCUGGAUCCACUACAUAUUUCAAAAACCAAAGCCCACAGGGCGACUGGCCAAAUGGCAGAUCCUGCUUACCGAGUUUGACAUUGUCUUUGUCACACGUACGGCGAUGAAAGCUCAGGAACUGGAAGAUCAUCUAGUAGAAAACCCUGUUGAUGACGAGUAUCACCCUUUAAACAUUACUUCUCUGACGAACAUGUGAACUCAUUGGAAGUAGCAGCUGAGGACACUUCCAUCUGGAAAAUAUUCUGCUACAGAGCGGAAACGCCAAGGGUGUAGGGAUAGGAGCUAUCUUAUUCUCACCCACAGGCCAGCAUUAUCCAGCCACGGCCAGACUUCGGUUUUUUAGUACCAAUAAUACAACUGAAUAUGAGGCUUGCAUUAUGGGCAUGAACAUGGCUAUUAACCAAGGUGUUGAACAACUACUAAUCAUGGAGGAUUCCGAUCUAAUCAUCCGACAAGCUCAGGGAGAAUGGGAGACAAGGGACAUUAAUCUCCUCACGUAUAGACAUCAUGUUGAAGACCUCAGCAAGCGGUUCAGGUCGGUACAGUUCAAGUACAUUCCUCGUUUCCACACUGAAUUAGCAGAUGCACUUGCAACCUUAGCCUCCAUACUGCCAUACCCUGGGAAUGCCUAUGUGGAUCAUUUACAAAUCUAAAUCAAAGAAAGACAUGGUUAUUAUAAUGCGGCUGAAGCAGAGCCUAGCCCACAGCCUUGGUAUCACGACAUCUUGAGAUUCCUACAAACGCAGGAGUACCCAGAGCAAGCCACAGGAGAACAAAAGAAGACCAUCCGACAGCAUGGGAGCAAUUUCUUCUUAAGUGGUGACACUCUGUACAAAAGGACUCCAGAUCUUAAUUUGUUGAGAUGUGUGGAUGCCGAAGAAGCUGGGAAAAUUAUGCACGAAGUACAUUCAGGCGUAUGUGGGCCCCAUAUGAAUGGCUAUGUAUUGCGAAGAAGAUACUCCGAGCUGGUUAUUAUUGGAUGACCAUGGAAAAGACUACUUCCGUUUUGUGUGGAAAUGUCAUCAAUGCUAGGGGCACGUCGAUCUGAUUCAUGCACCACCAAAUGAGUUGCAUCCUAUGUCAGCACCCUGGCCAUUUGCCGCCUGGGGAAUGGACGUCAUUGGGCCGAUCGAGCCAAAGACUUCAAAUGCGCACAGAUUUAUAUUGGUCGCCAUUGAUUAUUUCACAAAAUGGGUUGAAGUCAUUACCCUCAAAUCUAUCACUAAGAAAGCGGUAGUAGAUUUCGUGCAUUCCAACAUCAUUUGCCGCUUUGGGAUCCCUGCUGUCAUCAUUACUGACAAUGCAGCUAAUCUAAACAGUCGGCUGAUGGGAGAGAUAUGUGAACAAUUCAAAAUAAGACAUAUAAAUUCCACCCCCUACCGACCCAAGGCUAAUGGUGCAGUCGAAACAACCAACAAGAACAUCAAGAAAAUCUUGAGGAACAUGAUUCAAAGCUCGAGUCAAUGGCACGAAAAGAUGCCUUUCGCAUUGAUGCGAUAUUGUACCACAGUACGUACAUCUGUAGGAGCCACUCCCUACUUACUGGUCUAUGGAACUGAGGCUGUUAUACCUGCCGAGGUAGAAAUCCCUUUGAUCCGAGUGAUUGUAGAAACAUAAAUCGAAGAUAGUGAAUGGGUCAAAACUCGUUUGGAGCAGCUGGCAUUAAUUGAUGAAAAACAAAUGGUUGCAGUAUGCCACGGGCAGUUGUACCGAUAAAGAAUGGCCCGCGCCUACAACAAGAAAGUGUGCCCUAGGAAUUUUGAAGUCGGGCAGCUGGUGUUGAGACGGAUACUUCCACACCAUCAAGAGGCCAAAGGAAAAUUCACUCCAUAUUGGAAAGACCCAUAUAUAAGAAGAUAUUGCCUAGAGGAGCCUUUUACCUGGCCGACGUUGAAGGAGAUGAGCCCUAGGCUACGGUAAACGCAGACGAAGUAAAAAGGUAUUAUAUCUAAAUCCCCUGCAGCAACUACCUUGGUGGAUCGAAAGGACGAAGGUCUCCAAAUUGGAAAGGCCCAUAUAUAAUCAGGAAGAUAUUGCCUAGAUGAGCAUUGUACUUGGGCGACAUUGAAGGAGAUUAGCCCGAGGCAGCGGUAAACGCAGACGCAGUGAAAAGGUAUUAUGUUUAAAUCCCCUGCAAGCAAUUACCCCAGUGGAUCGAAAGUACGAAGGCUUUAUUCUCCCGCCAUCCCCACCCUCUUUGUAACCCAAAAAAAAAGAAAGAGAAAAUUCAAAAAAAAAAAAAGAAGAAGUAAAAAAGAGGAAAAGAAGAUUCAAAAAAAAAAAAAGAAAAGAAAAGAAAAGAAAAUUAAAAAAAGAAGAAGAAAAAAAAAGGAAUACAAAAUAAAAUUAGUUUAAUAUACACUUUCUGAACUACGUCUGACUUGAUUCCGAAAGGAUACGUAGGCAGUCUCUCCUUGAGGUUCACUCACAUCAAAAUGAAACCCCAUUUACCCAAGAAAAUUAAAACUGGGGCAGAAAUGUAUCGGUUCGUUUCGAUCCAAAUGAUUACAAAGUUAUAAAUCCUUGGGGAAGUGAAUACCAUUUGUCGGGGUUCAGCACCAAUCAAAUUUGUGAGAGAAAUAAAUUGAGAGUCUUAUUGGUGAAAAUCUCCAGGCACCAUAAGGCGGCGCUGAGCAGAGAAAUAUAAAAAUGAGAGAGUCUGUUUAGCGAAAACUCGCGAAGAGCGUUAUCGGGUGACGGGAGAAGAGAAAUGAGAGAGGAUGUUUGGUGAAAACCCGCAAAGGGCGCUGUCGGUCGAAAAGAGGAAAUAUUGCUGCCCAGGUCUGAGUAAGUUUCUUUUGAAAGAUUGAAGUCAGAAAGCAGAAAUGGGUGUGGGCCGGGUAUCCAGUCCAAGAAGCAUGUCGUCGUCAUUUAAAGUCGGCUCGUACUUCCAGAUAAGUUCUCUCUUUUCCUUCAAAGGGCAUACCUCUUUAAAUUCAUAUUUCACUCCUCUUCACCUUAACUUCCUCACCAUUCCUUAAAGAAAGGCAGCAAGGCCGGGUUCGCGGUUUUCUCCUAGCAAGAAUUAGGGAAAUGACCGACAUCGUCAAGUACGCUUGGCCAAUCCUAGUUGAUCAUGACAGUUAAUGUCCCAAAAUGAAGAAAUAAAGUAAAGGAAAUUCAAAGUCAAAAGGCAUGAAAUUGAAGCAAAAUCGAGGGGUUUUAAGCCAAACAGGGUGUCGUUUUUUUUAAUCAAAAGUCCCAAAAGCAAAAGCAAAAGCGUGAAAAAACUCAUAACCCAACGCCCGAGAAGCAAAACCCAAUCUGUAAUGAGGACCCCCCGGCCAACUAAGCAAGGAAGGAAAUCCGAGGGUUCCUUUUUGAAUACAAAGGAAGCUGAAAUCAAGCGUCACAAGGCCACAAAAUCAAUCACUGUUCAAACUAACAAUUUGUUUUUGUUUCUGAAUUAAAAUAGAUGCAGGUGCAAUUUAGAAAACAAAAGGAACACGGAGGCAAAAACAACCAAAGGAUAGGCACAAGGUCCGAAGGUGCUGAUGCAUCAAUGACCGAAGGGAAAUUUUCUUUCCAUUUUCUGCAAACUCGUAAAUGAGCAUGACGGCACGAGACUCCAAUCCCUAGUUCCCCAUGUAUAGCUUGUGGACUUCCUAGGAUCUACCUACAUAAGGAUUGCAUGCCACUCCCUCCAUCAUAAAUCUAGGAGAUUUCCAUACACAUCCCCGGCAUAACCUGGAUUCUCUCCCAGCACUUCUCACUCCCCAACAUACUCUUGGAGUUAUUACUCCCCUACCCUUCGCAUAACCUAAGAGUUAUUCCUUUCCUCAUCUGUCCCCAGCGCAGUCAAAAUAUUUUUGAGGUCCUCCCCUGCUCAGCAUAUUCCACUAGCAUAACCCAGGACCUCAUUUUCCUCCCGGCAUAACCCGCGGAUCUCCCUGGCAUAACCCAGGAAUCGUUCUUGCGUCCCGGCAUAACCUGUGGAUUUUUCCUUUCAUCCCCAGUAGGGACUCCUCAUUCUUAUCCCGGCAUAACCCGUGGAUUCCCCGGACAUAACUCAGGACCUCAUUUUCAUCCCGGCAUAACCCGUGGAUUUCCCUGACAUAACUCAAGAUCUCUUUUCAUCCCGGCAUAACCUGUGGAUUUCCCUGACAUAAAUCAGGACCUCAUUUUAAUCCCGCCAUAACCCGUGGAUUCCCCUAGCAUUACCUAGGAUUUUUCAUUCAUCCUGGCGUAACCCGUGGAUUCCCCUGACAUAACUCAGGACCUCAUUUUCACCCCGUCAUAACCCGUGGAUUCCCCUAGCAUAACCUAGGAUUAUUCAUCCCGGCAUAACCCAUGGAUUCCCCUAGCAUAACUUUGGAUUUUUCAUUCAUCCCGGCAUAACCUAUGGAUUCCCCUAGCAUAACCUAGGAUUUUUCAUUCAUCCCGGCAUAACCCGUGGACUCCCCCUAGCAUAACCUAGGAUUUUUCAUUCAUCUCAACAUAACCCGUGGAUUCCCCGAGCAUAACCUAGGAUUUUUCAUUCAUCCCGGCAUAACCCGUGCAUAACCUAGGAUUUUGCUUGCAUCCCGGCAUAAACUGUGGAUCCCCUUAGCAUAACCUAUGAUUUUUCACUCAUCCCGGCAUAACCCGCAGAUUCCCCUAGCAUAACCCAUGAAUAUUUUUCAUAUCCCGGCAUAACCCGCAGAUCUUUCCUUCCUUCCCCACAGGGACCUUUUCAUUCUUAUCCUGGCAUAACCCUGGAAUAUUUUUCAUAUCCCGGCAUAACUCGCAGAUCUUUUCUUUCCUUCCCUACAGAGACUUUUUCAUUAUUAUCCCUGCAUAACUCGAGGAUUCUCAUCUUAUUCCCCAGCAGGAAACGUUUCUCCUCUCCAGCAUAACCUGGUGAUCUUUCCAAGGGAUACACAAUUCCAUUCCUUUUUGUGCUUAAAAGAGCAGUAUAGAUGUGUGUUAUAAAUAACUCACGAAAUUUUCCAGUGAAAAAUGGGGCAGAAAAUUUCGUUUGUUUGUUUGUUUUGCCGUCUAAGCAGGUAUCACCUUAAGGCACAAGAUCUGGCAUGAUUGAAAGCAUGAGUGUCAAUUCAGAGCAGAAGGAAAGAAAAGAGACAAAAGGUGAACUCAAAAUAAUGAGUCGAACAGAGACGCGGACUGCUCAAAAUCAAUGGAAGUCACAAGCUCAGCAUAUCUUGUUUUGUUUCAAGAUUAAAUAUUGAGUUAGCAGCUGCAGUUAACAAGCAUCAAGAUUCGGAUCGGAGUCUGGCGUGAAAGAUAGCCGAGACUCAAGAUCAAGCUUCAAGAGACUCAUAGAUAGGAAUCUUGUAACNNNNNNNNNNNNNNNNNNNNNNNNNNNNNNNNNNNNNNNNNNNNNNNNNNNNNNNNNNNNNNNNNNNNNNNNNNNNNNAACUUGUAGUUGAUAGGUUUAGCUAGCUUGGUUUUUGAUUUUCUUUCGGUGUAAUAAGGAGCUUAGUGAGCAGAAAUAACCAAUCAUAGUCUCUCGGUAGUCCCAGCUACCAAAACUUCCAGAACUACACUAACCUCAUUCCUUUAUUGCCAAGGAUAUGUAGGCAACCUUUGAAGCAAGGUUCGGUCAGGAAUUUUUCAUAAUGCUUCAAUUGGAGUAUUCAAUCGGACGGAAACCACUCGUAUUUGCUCACUUGUCUUUGCACAAAAACCCUUCGUGUUCCCGCGCAAAGAGGGGCAGCUGUGAGCAGAUGAUUUUUGACCGAUCGAAACAAGCUCCUAUAGGACUCUUAAUGUUUAGGAUUUUUCUUUUAAAGGUUAGGAUUUUAAUUUUUAGAAUCUGACUGCAUGUGCAUGUUCAUUACUGAAUGUUUAAAAUGGUUUAAGAUUUAAUUGUCCCCAGCGCUGCAUGUGCAUGUUCAUUAUUGCAUGUUUAAAAUGGUUUAAGAUUUAAUUGUUAAAUAAAUAAAUAUAUAUAUAUAUAUAUAUGCCAGCACUUGAAAUUAUGUUUGUUCAAUUUUGACUUGUUUUAAUUUUAUUUGUGAGUUGUGGUUUUUAAAUAAAAUUAGUAAUUAAUUUCAAUUAAAAGAAUAGACAAAUAAUAAUAAUAAUACAAUAAAUGUAUAUAUAUAGGCAGCCACUCAGGCUAGCCACAAUUGGGCCAGACCUGUGUGGCCCAACCGAUUUCCUCCACUAAAUCAAAUCACAGCCGAAGCCCAAAGGACUAGCCUAAUCCAGAUCCACAACCACUAAACCAAACGACACCGUUUAGGACCCCUCCCAUCACAACCGUUGAUCCCCACAUCAUCCAACGUCCACAGAAGCCUCUUUCAUAUUGUAUACAUAUGUCCAAACACUUUCAAUACAUACACGACCAAACGUUACCUUCCUUGUACCCUUCACCGUUGACCUAACAACACCCAUUGACCACCCUGUCACCGCCUUUGACUACCGGCCUACCACCCUACUGCCGCCGCUGGAAAUCGCCUCACGGCCGCGUCUGCCAAAAAAACUACCCCAAAUUAACACCACUUUACCAGUGUGACCUCCUCUACCCUGUCCCAUGACCAGUUUCCAUCGAAUACAACCCUCCAUCUCAAAUAUCCCCUUAAAGGUGGCCGAAAAUCGUAUCUACGACGACCUCAUUGCAAAGCUGCCCAAAACUACACCACUAAGGCACCUCCCCCUCCCAGUUCCAACCAGGUAUAUUACCCCUCUCAAAUCAUUCUGAAACCCCUCGAAUACUAAUCCGAAGGCCAACCCUAAAUUCCAAAACACGUCGGAAAAACCUCAAAGCCCUCCUAGACAAUCCCUGAUCCCCCUUGACACCAACCAUACCACCCUUGACCCCCAAACACCCUCAACCACUAAACAAAUUCAAAUCUGAGACCUAUUUGAGGUCUCAUAAUCUUGGAAACUCCCCUGAGUUCUUAAAACUAAUGGUACACCACCUUAGAGGGUUCGGAACCCCUGUGGGAGAAUCAAGGUUCAGCUGGGAUGGUUUAAACGAGAGCAUAAAUGAAAGCUAAGUUUUUCUUGCCUAUUUUCCAUUUCUUUAGCUUUGAAUGCUUGAUUUCUUUUAAUGACGGAUUAUUUUCAGUAAUUACAUGUUUAAAAGUUUGGAUUUCUUUCAUUUUUUUAUUUUGGUUGUUUGUCUGUUUAUCCACAAGUUCAUUUAAGAUUAAGGAUUAUUUUCAUUAGUUACAUAUAUAAAAGUUUGGAUUUCUUUCAUUUUUUGAUUUUGGUUGUUUGUGUGUUUAUCCACAAGUUCAUUUAAGAUUAGGAUUCAAUGUUCAUAUGUUUGUUUGUUUGUCACUAGCCUGGAAA